GCGUUUCCCGAGGUUCGCCGACAAGAAUCCACCCAGCAAUUAUCUCCCUUCUCGCGCGCAUGGGGGGACAUUAACCACGAACGCGCUGGAGAAGAAAGGUCUGGAAACCUGGAGGGAUGGGUGCGGCAGGAGAUGGGGAACUCCCGCCAAGGAACUCCGUGAGAGCUCAGAGCCCAACCACCUGCUUCUCGCCCGUGGGAGGGGACACACACCCCCUCUUCUGAGAGCAGACAGGAGGCUGCGACCAUCUCGUCCAGCUUUAUGCUUGGAGCAAAGCUUGAAAAAGCCUCGGCUGCCGCCCGGAUGGCUGAUGGUGGUGGCGGUGAGGGGGUCUCUUUCCUCUCUAGUUCUUGCUCCCCCACCCCCUCCCCCGGCUGCUGACGGGCAACAGAAAGUGAGGAAGUUUGCAAAUAAGGGGAGUUGUCCUAACAUAGCCAUCACACUCACGCGUCCAUACCUUGAGGGCUCGGCCGUGGUCCUCGGGAGGCUUCCAAAAAAGCUGCUUCCCAACAAACCUCUCCCAGCCAAGCCCUAACUGUGGAACCCACGGCUUAGGAGGAGGACACGGCGAAGAGGGAAGGAUUAGCAAACGCGACAGAGUCUUCCCAGGAAAUCCAAGUUCUAUCAGUCCCUUUGGACCUUUCCACGGGCUGUUUCUUUGAAAAUACAUCAACAAAUAAACACCGUCCACAGAGAGAUCCCAACAGCCGUGGGGAGAACUGAGGCAGGGUAGGAAGUGGAGAGCACGCAGGAGGCCAAGAAGGCGAGGGGCAAGUUCUAGGCAAGCGGAUUAUGUUACACUUCCUCCUAUUACCAGACUUCCAGGAGGAGACACCUCGAUUUGUGCAUAAAAUGCAUACCCUGAAGUGGAUAAGACUCUGAAAGCAGCGUUUGAGGAGGUUAACCUUGACUGGUUGGAGUUAAGGGGGGGUGGGGGGAAGCAAAUAUUUCUGUUUGUGCCCUCCGGCUCUUCCCAGCACCGGCUGUCAAUCCCGACGCUUGUUAUCCUCACAAGGCUUCAGUUUGUUUGCCUGAUCUCAGCAAGGUUUUCUUCCACAAGUAGAACUAUAAUUGCUAUAAUUCUACUGUAUCAUUUGGAUCAUUGCAGUAUUGUUGUUUUCUCUCUCUCUUUCUCUCCUCCUAACACUGCAAUAACGCGCUCCAGUGUUAAAUUAGCAGGUUGCGGAAGACCAUAAAUGAAUGAAAGUUUGUUUAAAAAAAAAAAAGAAAUUAAAUAAAUAAAACAGCAAAAUGACUUGGCAAAAGGGAUAUCACAUCACAGAGAAUCCUUGCGUGUAAUCAGGUCUUAUUGUCUUCUCUUCCAGUGGCUUCCAAAUUGGUCGCUAGAUUCCAAUGAAGUUUAUUUCUAUUGUUUAAAUAUAUGUUUUGAAGAGGCUGAUCGUAAUUUAAGGGGACCUGAGCCGUCCGGUGCAACUGGAAGCCCAUCACAGCUUGAUUUAUCUAUGUGUAUAUUGCACAAUAAAUUAAAACAUCUCAAAUGAAAAGUAUGUGAGGUUAACUCUCUUCCAAACAUUUUUUUUUUCUGGAUAAUGACAUCUAACUGCCACCCCCCCUUAUUCCACAUUUCUUGCAAAUGUAAUUUUAAAACUAUAAUGUAGAAUUAGCUCUCAGAAAAGAAAGGGGUUUCUCCUUCCACUCUCCUCUUCUAGGUAAAUUAUUAUUUCCAGUUCUAGGAACAAGCCCCAUUUUUCACCAUAAACAACAGUUCUAAACACAUGUGACCUUCACUUCCAGCCAUUAUUGUCAUUUUUAUUUAGUGAUUGAUUUUAAAAGCAGAUAAACUGCAAACCAUUGUUUUCCAAGCAGACCAGGAAAAGCAAACCAACAGCUACAGACCCCAAAGAUUAGAGGAGCCAGGACUUGUGAAUAACAAAGUACAAACAAGAAUGAUAUUAUCACUAAAAUGCAAUUACUUUUGAUUAGUGAGUAAAAGUGAGGCAAAAAGAAAGUGAAGUGUCGUUUUCCUGGCAAAGUAAAAUUAAAUUGGGCUAAACUGUAAGUUCUUUCAUACGUAAUCCUAUAGCCCAAUUCUUAAAAGUCUGCCCACUCAACACAUCAG
Molecule: long non-coding RNA, 2080 nt
Filed under: Homo sapiens (human)
Lineage: Eukaryota; Metazoa; Chordata; Mammalia; Primates; Hominidae
Description: HSALNT0281016
Source: RNAcentral